RNAcentral lists this unclassified non-coding RNA (414 nucleotides) under uncultured Tricholoma. RNAcentral's name for it is "sequence contains ITS2". The stretch from base 1 to 154 matches the Rfam family "5.8S ribosomal RNA". The record is from RNAcentral. Lineage: Eukaryota; Fungi; Basidiomycota; Agaricomycetes; Agaricales; Tricholomataceae.
AACUUGUAGCAAUGUGUCACUUGGCGCUCGCAUCGAUUAAGAACGCAGCGAAAUGCGAUAAGUAAUGUGAAUUGCAGAAUUCAGUGAAUCAUCGAAUCUUUGAGCGCACCUUGCGCGCCUUGGUAUUCCGAGGAACAUGCCUGUUUGAGUGUCAUAAAAUUCUCAACCCUUUCAGCUUUUUGGUUGAUGAGGGAUUGGAUGUGGGAGCUUGCGGGCUUUCUCAGAAGUCGGCUCUCCUUAAACGCAUUAGCGGGACCUUUGUUGCCUAGCUUUUUGGUGUGAUAAUUAUCUAUGCCAUUUGCUCAAGCAGCUUAUAAUGAGGUCAAGCUUCUAAUUAGAUGCAACUUAUGACAAUUUGACCUCAAAUCAGGUAGGACUACCCGCUGAACUUAAGCAUAUCAAUAAGCGGAGGCU